Molecule: ribosomal RNA, 252 nt
Filed under: uncultured bacterium
Lineage: Bacteria
Description: partial 16S ribosomal RNA
Rfam family: Bacterial small subunit ribosomal RNA
Source: RNAcentral
UACGUAGGGUGCAAGCGUUGUCCGGAAUUAUUGGGCGUAAAGAGCUCGUAGGCGGUUUGUCGCGUCGAAUGUGAAACCCGGGGCUCAACCCCGGGCCUGCAUUCGAUACGGGCAGACUAGAGUUCGGUAGGGGAGUCUGGAAUUCCUGGUGUAGCGGUGAAAUGCGCAGAUAUCAGGAGGAACACCGGUGGCGAAGGCGGGACUCUGGGCCGAUACUGACGCUGAGGAGCGAAAGCGUGGGGAGCAAACAGG